UACGGGGGGGGCAAGCGUUGUUCGGAAUUACUGGGCGUAAAGGGCUCGUAGGCGGCCAACUAAGUCAGACGUGAAAUCCCUCGGCUUAACCGGGGAACUGCGUCUGAUACUGGAUGGCUAGAGGUUGGGAGAGGGAUGCGGAAUUCCAGGUGUAGCGGUGAAAUGCGUAGAUAUCAAGAGGAACACCAGUGGCGAAGGCGGGUCCCUGGACAACACCUGACACUGAGGCACGAAAGCUAGGGGAGCAAACGGG
RNAcentral lists this ribosomal RNA (253 nucleotides) under uncultured bacterium. RNAcentral's name for it is "partial 16S ribosomal RNA". It matches the Rfam family "Bacterial small subunit ribosomal RNA", at positions 524 to 776 of the family's 1533-position model. The record is from RNAcentral.